AUACGGAGGGUGCAAGCGUUAAUCGGAAUUACUGGGCGUAAAGCGUACGUAGGCGGUCCGUUAAGUUAGAUGUGAAAGCCCCGGGCUUAACCUGGGAACUGCAUUUAAAACUGGCGAACUAGAGUUGAGUAGAGGGGAGUGGAAUUUCAGGUGUAGCGGUGAAAUGCGUAGAGAUCUGAAGGAACACCAGUGGCGAAGGCGACUCCCUGGACUCGAACUGACGCUGAGGUACGAAAGCGUGGGUAGCAAACGGGAUUAGAUACCCCAGUAGUCC
This 274-nucleotide ribosomal RNA is filed under the name uncultured bacterium. Its description in RNAcentral is "partial 16S ribosomal RNA". It matches the Rfam family "Bacterial small subunit ribosomal RNA", at positions 523 to 796 of the family's 1533-position model. The record is from RNAcentral.